This 346-nucleotide long non-coding RNA is filed under the name Arachis ipaensis. RNAcentral describes it as "long non-coding RNA (AIPA_LNC000380)". The record is from RNAcentral. Lineage: Eukaryota; Viridiplantae; Streptophyta; Magnoliopsida; Fabales; Fabaceae.
AGGUACAAACAUAUGGCUAGAAACAAUACGAUACAUGCAUUAAUAAUAUUAUUGAUGACCGGAAUAAUUAUUUAUUCUGCCAUUGCUGAAUUUCAUGAUUCUGUCAUUCCUAAAAAAUCAUGGAUUCAUUCUCAUUAUAUUGCAACUAGUAAAGGAAGAAAAAGAAAUCAACCUCCGCGAGAAGAUCUACCUGCCCGGGACCCUAUUACGAAAAACAAGAGGGAGGCAAAGUUGAAGAAGUGUCUUCGAAAUUGCGAGCUGCUUUAUCGGAAUUGUCCGACAGACUUUAAUAUAUGCGCUACCGCAUGUUAUGUUAGGCACUCACCUAAGGGAUUUUUUGCUUGAA